GGGGAAUAUUGCACAAUGGGGGAAACCCUGAUGCAGCGACGCCGCGUGAGUGAAGAAGUAUUUCGGUAUGUAAAGCUCUAUCAGCAGGGAAGAAGAAUGACGGUACCUGACUAAGAAGCCCCGGCUAACUACGUGCCAGCAGCCGCGGUAAUACGUAGGGGGCAAGCGUUAUCCGGAUUUACUGGGUGUAAAGGGAGCGUAGGUGGUGUGGUAAGUCAGAUGUGAAAGCCCGCGGCUUAACUGCGGGACUGCAUUUGAAACUAUCAUACUAGAGUGCAGGAGAGGUAAGUGGAAUUCCUAGUGUAGCGGUGAAAUGCGUAGAUAUUAGGAGGAACACCAGUGGCGAAGGCGGCUUACUGGACUGUAACUGACACUGAAGCUCGAAAGCGUGGGGAGCAAAC
RNAcentral lists this ribosomal RNA (401 nucleotides) under uncultured bacterium. RNAcentral's name for it is "bacterial SSU rRNA". It matches the Rfam family "Bacterial small subunit ribosomal RNA", at positions 356 to 773 of the family's 1533-position model. The record is from RNAcentral.